AGAUGUGAGGGCUAUCUGGCUGUGAUAUCUGUCACCACAUUGAUAUCCAGGGUUGAUUUAGCUGAAUUGGCUGGCUAGGCAGGUGUCCCCUUCCUCCCUUACCACUCCAUGUGCAUCCGUCCUGAAGCUGUGCACUUGGAUGCACACUGAAGAGGACCACUGAAGAGGACAACCAUCCCCAAUAGAGGAGGACCAGUCUUCAGUCAAGAGUAUAUAAGUAGCUGCAGUCUCCUGCUAGAACCUCCAAACAAGCUCUCAAGGUCCACUUGUAGGGGAACAUAGGAUAGUCAAGCUUCCAAGACUCUGGAUGCAUCCAUAUGAGGUGCUGCAUUGGUGAGUUUUGAAUUUUUAUAU
Molecule: small nuclear RNA, 354 nt
Filed under: Aotus nancymaae (Ma's night monkey)
Lineage: Eukaryota; Metazoa; Chordata; Mammalia; Primates; Aotidae
Description: 7SK RNA (ENSANAG00000005497.1)
Rfam family: 7SK RNA
About the family: 7SK was discovered as an abundant small nuclear RNA in the mid-70s but a possible function has only recently been suggested. Two independent studies have found that 7SK RNA binds the CDK9/cyclin T complex (known as elongation factor P-TEFb).
Source: Rfam by way of RNAcentral